UGCAUUCCGAGUUUGAAGAGGAUGAGAACCUCCGAAGGAGGUUUGCGCCGGGCGUAGCGAGACAACGUUGCUUCAGCAACGGCCCGCAGGGGAAUCAUCCUCUCUCGCCGACCC
This 114-nucleotide small RNA is filed under the name Enterobacter sp. R1(2018). RNAcentral describes it as "RtT sRNA". It matches the Rfam family "RtT RNA". From Rfam's summary of the family: This family represents a bacterial cis-regulatory element known as RtT RNA. The exact function of RtT is unknown although it is thought that it may be involved in changing the cellular response in relation to amino acid starvation. The record is from RNAcentral. Lineage: Bacteria; Pseudomonadati; Pseudomonadota; Gammaproteobacteria; Enterobacterales; Enterobacteriaceae.